RNAcentral lists this ribosomal RNA (492 nucleotides) under uncultured bacterium. RNAcentral describes it as "partial 16S ribosomal RNA". It matches the Rfam family "Bacterial small subunit ribosomal RNA", at positions 29 to 507 of the family's 1533-position model. The record is from RNAcentral.
AGUGAACGCUGGCGGUAGGCCUAACACAUGCAAGUCGAACGGCAGCACAGUAAGAGCUUGCCCUUACGGGUGGCGAGUGGCGGACGGGUGAGGAAUACAUCGGAAUCUACUUUUUCGUGGGGGAUAACGUAGGGAAACUUACGCUAAUACCGCAUACGACCUACGGGUGAAAGCAGGGGAUCUUCGGACCUUGGGCGAUUGAAUGAGCCGAUGUCGGAUUAGCUAGUUGGCGGGGUAAAGGCCCACCAAGGCGACGAUCCGUAGCUGGUCUGAGAGGAUGAUCAGCCACACUGGAACUGAGACACGGUCCAGACUCCUACGGGAGGCAGCAGUGGGGAAUAUUGGACAAUGGGCGCAAGCCUGAUCCAGCCAUACCGCGUGGGUGAAGAAGGCCUUCGGGUUGUAAAGCCCUUUUGUUGGGAAAGAAAAGCAGCAGGUUAAUACCCCGCUGUUCUGACGGUACCCAAAGAAUAAGCACCGGCUAACUUCGUG